GGUGAAUCAAAGAGAAGAAAGAAGAGCGUAGGAGGCCAAAUCAGGAAGAACAAAUCUGUAGAAAGAAGGGCUCUUCAGCUUGGGCUUAUAUACGUUCCACCUCAUCUCUUUUUGCAGGUGAUAAGGACAGGAGAGAGAAGAGGGGGAGGCGAGAUCAGGAAAGGAAAAAAAAAAAAAAAGUAAAGAUAGGGCUUUUCAUCUGCCAAAAAAAAGAAGUUCACCUACCUCUCUUUCCACCCGAUGAUGGAGAGGCGGUUGAUCAACCUUGAUUUCAUUCAUAGGCUGAACUCAAUAUUUCUAAUUUGUUUAUGUAUAUCCCAGCAUCAUCUGAUUUAAGAAGUCUCAGAUUGUGGUGGAGGGGGACUGUUUUUUUAAUUGGAGUUUUGGAAUUGGAGACAAAAAAAUAUGUAGCAAGAUCAAAGAAGAAGAAAAAGGAAUCUUUCGCCCCUUCCAGUCCCUAAGUGUGAUGGCAAAGGAAACCAAAUAUAACUUGCUCUGGAAUUUGACAGAACUUAUGCAAGCUAGCACAUUUUGCUCCAUUAAACUCUGUUUUUUUUUUCUUGCCUUAAUUUUCACUGCCAAGAAUAGUUCCCCCAUUGCCAUUAUAUUUUAGUUCUCUGAUUACACCUUUUCGUUAUCAUCUUCCUACAAGAUUGCUCUGCUAUGUUUUAGUUCGUUGGCUUUAUGCCUUCCAAUUCCUACUUUGAGAGGCA
Molecule: long non-coding RNA, 713 nt
Organism: Populus nigra (black poplar)
Lineage: Eukaryota; Viridiplantae; Streptophyta; Magnoliopsida; Malpighiales; Salicaceae
Exons: 2
Source: RefSeq, a predicted model, not a curated record